This 230-nucleotide long non-coding RNA is filed under the name Brassica napus (rape). RNAcentral describes it as "long non-coding RNA (BNAP_LNC005405)". The record is from RNAcentral. Lineage: Eukaryota; Viridiplantae; Streptophyta; Magnoliopsida; Brassicales; Brassicaceae.
AGAAAAAGUGUAUCGAAGAAGACUGAGGAGCCACGCUGGUGAAGACCGAGGAGAAAUGCCGGAGACGACAGGAGCUACGCCGGAUAUGGUCGAGGAGCUGGCCGGAGAGAAGAGAAACGAAGAGGAUUGGACGGACAUUAGGUUUAAUUUGGUUUUAGCUUUUUGGUUUAGUUUCUUAAACCACUUUAAUAUGUAAAUGUAAAUCGAUUUUAUUUGUAUAUCAAUUCUCG